Non-coding RNA from Oryctolagus cuniculus (rabbit), 11730 nucleotides. The record is from RefSeq and is a predicted model, not a curated record. NCBI's taxonomy places the organism in Eukaryota, Metazoa, Chordata, Mammalia, Lagomorpha, Leporidae.
AGGGCUAGCCUAGAAGCUUAACUGGGGUCGGGCCGGGGAGCUUUGAGGCUCGGGGCAGUUAGCUUGCUUCCUGCUCAGCCUCCGGAGAGUCAGAGCUGGCACUGACCCGGAACUGUGUGACCUCCACACUUCAAAGGAGACCUGAACAGCAGGACUUUCCUCAAAGGCAGUCAUUUCCACCCAGAUCUCGUCCUCCCAACCUCGCCCUGCCGCCACUUUCCCAUAGUCCCAGCCUCAGUGUAUAUAUAUGCAUAUAUAUAAUAUUAUAUAUAAAUAUAUUAAAUAUGUUCCCAUCCACAUAUAAAAUAUGUAUAUUAAAGAUAUGGGUGGGAAUGGGGAACGAGAGAGAGAGAUCCCUCACCUGCUGGUUCACUCCCCAAACGCCCCAGACACCGGGUGCUGGGCUCUGGGCCAGGCAGAAGCCAGGAGCCUGCUACUCUGAGUGCCCCACCUGGGUGGCAGGGACCCAAGUACUUGGGCAACCACUUGCUGCCUCCCAAGUUGCCCAUUAGCAGGAAGCUAGAACCAGGGGUAGAACUGGAACCUCUGACAGACCGCGGGCAUCCCAGCCCUGUGGUUUAACUGCUACAGCAAAAGCCCGCCUCUCAGCUCAGGGUGAGUGAACGGGGCCCCUAAGGGAGGCGCUUCAACUCUGAGGACGGUCAGGCUGCCCUCCCUCCCUGGGCAGUCUCCCAGCACACCCUCCUGGACCCCAGACUCCCACUGACAGGACUGCCCUGCUCACGGCUGCAGGUGACAUGUGCUGUCUUGCAACCAAGGAGGCUGUCCAGGUGUCGGCUGGCAAGAGCGACAGGGAGUGACAUUGUACCGGGUGACUUCUGAGCCACCUCCAGACCCAGGAACCCAGUCUGCCAAGGAAGGGGCUUUCAGCAAGGUAGCUGCAAUGGCCAGAGCUGUGCUGAUCCGGAGCCAGGAGCCAGGAGCCAGGAGCCAGGAGAUUCCUCCAGGUCUCCCACGCAGGUGCAGGGGCCCAAGGAGUUGAGCCAUUUUCUACUGCUUUCCCAGGCCAUAACAGAGAGCUGGAUUGGAAGAGGAGCAGCCGGGACUAGAACCUGCACCCAUAUGGGAUGCCAACGCCUCAGGCCAGGACUUUAACCCACUGCACCACAGCUCCUGCAACGACAAAUGGAUAUUCUAACUUCUGCCUGCAACAGCUCCCUAGUUAACUUCCAGUCUGCAGACCCAUUUUAUUCACUUCAGGGGUGAUGGUUGAAGGCAGGUUUCUCUAGGCCCAAACUCUCAAGAGAAAGCCCCCUGACUCUCUCCUGGUCACUCAUCUGCCCCCCCCCCCCCCCCCCCCCCCCGCCUAUGUGUCUCCAGGGCUGGUGGGAGGCCUUUUGAAAACAGCAGCACUGCCCAUAGCCCCAGGUGCUGGACAGGGGGCUGGUGGAGACAGGGUCGCCCGGAGUGGCUGUGCCUUCCUGUCUGCAGGGCCACCUGAUGCAAGGCUGGGCAAAGUGCAACAGAGCUGGAGGGAUUGACUCCAGGAGAGACGUGUGCCUGCUCCAAGACCCUGCCCCAUAGGGCCUGCCCUUCCCCCUAGACCUUUCCGGACCUUCUCUGAUGUCACUGAAGUGUUAGAUUGCAGGGGGUUAACCAAAUUCUAAGUGGGACACACCUACUUUCUUGGUUUAUCUGAUUGUCCCAGUAGCCUCAGUUCCCCUUUGUACUGUCACAGAGAAGGUGGGGUCUCAUUGCCAGGGUUCCGGAGCCCUGUACCCUCUUGUCACAGUGAACUCCUGUCCUGGCUUCCCAGGGCAAGGUCCUGGACAGAGGUGGGCUGGGCUGAGGGCUGGGGAGGGGGAGGGGCUUCUCUGUAGAGGGUCCUGGGAAACCUCAGCCAAGCUUCAGAGCGUGUGUUCACCAUCCCAACGGUACGCUUUUAGGCACAUGACCUCUCCACUCUGCUUCCGUGUUAAAGUGCAGGUAACAACAGUAUCUAUGGAGCAGGUUACUUACUGCGAGGACUCAGUGAGGUAUUGCGCAGUGUUCGGUGCCUGAAACAAGGGGAGCACCCAGUAAAUUUCACUCUGACCGUCAUCAACCUGUCCUCCAAACCUGUGCAUCCGUCAGCCUCUGCAACCCCAGCUGGAAACCUGGGGUCCCCACACCUCUUCCUCCCCAUCGUGGGCCCCUCCCUCCAUCCUGAGGGCCCAUGGCUCCGCCCCUCCCAAGUAUUUGUUAGCCUUUUUUUUUCCUCUCUCUCUAUUCCUGCUGCUGUCUCUGGGCAAGCUGGGGACUGGCUCCUCUCAGCCUCUCUCACUGUAUAGCCCCCCAAUCCACACCACACCCAGCUCCCCUAGAAAACGCGGAUUUGAUUCUGUCUCAUCCCUAUCCUGUCUCCAAGGAAUGAUUCAUUCAGGGGUUUCCCCCGACCCCUGCCUGCCUGCCCGUCCUAGCUGGGCACACACAGGACUUGAGACCGGCUCCUGUCGGUCCUCUACGCUCUCCACUCUCACCAGCGCUGCUGCCAGGAGGCACCGAGUGCCUGGGAGCCGGCCCGUGCCUUUGCAGUCUUUGCACGAGCAGUGCCCGCAGGCUGGCCUGGCUUGGCAGGGCACCUCCUGGGCCCCCCAGACACAGCUCAAGCACUGCUCCUCCUCUGAGCCUCCCAGGCCCCGUUCGGGUGUAGCUGCUUCUCCGGCUGUUCCCCGUUGCAGUGUAAGCCCCUCCAGGGCAGGCGCCGUCUUGUUUUCUGUGCACCCCCGAUGCCACUCACAGAGCCUGGCACACAGCCUGCCCACAGGAGCCAGGCCCUGCGCAUGCCUGCCCUGGGCAAUUUCUCUACCACCCAGGGUGCCGGCAUUCCAGACCUGGAGUGGGGCCUGCUCUGUGCCCUGCCUGCCACCCCCCAAGAGUCAGAUCUACAAGAAAACAGGACGGAAGCCAACCAAGGCUUGGUAAAACACAUCUCGCCCAGGGAAUCCUGCGGUAGCCCACCAAGCCGGCAAGGGCUGCUGGGCGGGGGAACCCACGCCUUCCCACCCCGACAGUGAAGGCAGGGGAGUGGGCCAGGAUGCCCACGCAUCUCCCCCAAGGUCCUGGGUGGCCACGUGACCCGCGUCUCCCGGGGGCCACCUAGCCCAGGCACCAGCCCUUCUCCUAAAUAGGGAAGCGACAGGGACAGAUCGGGUUUCGCCGUCGAUAUUUACAGGUUCCCUGGCCGAAGCCAAACCUCUCUCCUCCUCCCUCGCUCCUCCCUGUCUCCGGGCCCCAGGAAAGGAAAGAAGGGGCCCCUUCUGCGCCCUAUUCCCAGUUCUCCGGACGCUGGCUGCAGCCCCUCCCACCGCCGCCACCGCCCCUCUGGGGCGCUCGGAGGUCACAGCAUUCCGAAGCCCAGGAGGCCCUCGGAGAUCUGGGGCCGCUGUCGGGGCGGGGAGGCAAGGCACCCCUGACUCGGGGCUGGAGACCUUGAGGCCUUGCAGCCAUGAAAACUCUGGUUCCUCCCGGGACCUGCCGGGGUCCGGCUUCGUUUUGGCCUUGCUAACUCUGGAGGGAGGCCCUGCAGUGCCUACUGCGUGUAGGGGCCGGCCCUGGGGCUGGGUGCCCAGGCUCCUUGUCCCCAGUCCUCCCUGCCCCUCGGGCCCAGGCCACAUCCCUUUGCCGCUGGAAGUCGCUGGCUGGGAGUCAGCAGGGCAUGCCGGCCUGAAGGGCUUGGACUCCCAGCUCUUGGCCUGUGAAAUGAGCAGGGCAGUGAGAAGACUGGGCAGGGCAAUCCAGGGCCAAGUCCACAGCUAAGGGAGUCCCCUCUGAAGCCUGGAUCCCUGACCUCUGAAAGCUGUGCUUUGGCUGGGCCCCAGGACAGGGAACCUGAUGGAGGGGACUGGUCUCCUUCCAGGCUGGGCAGACAGACACUCCCCAAGCAGCUCAUUCCGGUCCAGUGCAAACUCAGUUAGAAAGCCCUGUCUGGACGGGAGCUGGCCCUGGUCAGCGGAAGGAGCCCUGGCUCCUUUCUGGGGUUCAGGCAGGAGUGAAAGGGUUGGAAACUGAGCCACAGCUGGCUUGCCUUGUGAGGAACAAGGGUGCGUAGACAGCAGAAUGGAGAAACCAGAGGUUGGCCAAGACUUGUAAUAUUUAGGAUGGAGGGGUGUCUGCAUGUUUUGUGGAAUGCGAUUCACUCAUUUGCGUAUUUAUUGAGCUCAUCCUAAGGAAAUACACGCACCAUUUGCAUCAGACCCUGUCCUGAGACUCCAGUGGAUAAGAGGGUCCUAGCCCUCAUGGAGGCGACCGUCCAGUGGCUGAGCCCAAGUGCGGGACAGUGACAAUGCAGUGCGUGCACUAAAGGCUACAGUGGGGGGAAUUAAGAGGCACACCCAGAUUAGGUGGGGAGGAAGUGUUACCUAACCCGAGUUCAUCAGCUGUGGGGAGAGUGGAGAAGGGGAAGGCAGCUUUCCAGGGAGACCGUAGGUUCUGGAAAUGUACAGUUCAGCACGUCCACCUGCAUGAUGGCUGCUGCAGGAACAGGAGAUGGAGAAACUGCACUGGAGGGAGAAAGCGGGGUGAGCUGAGAAAUACUGCCCAUCCCGGGGGGCUGGGGCUGGGGCGUCCCCUGCUCCUUUGAGCCCACACAGUAGACCCUGCAGGCACGCUGUAGCGGAGGAUGUGGCUCCCGAGUCAGAGCUGCCAUACAGAAUCAAUAUUUACUUUAUCCAGAUCAUGUGUACACAUAGCUGAAAAAUCAAAUGGUGCUAAAAGGCUUGUAACAAAAACAGAAGUCCCUGGGCCUUUCUCCCAACCCUUAUCCAAGUCCCCCGGGGCAACUGCUUUCAACUCUGAGCUGUUUCUUCUGGCAUUUCCUUCCUGAUUUCUAAAUAAUACAUGCACUCCCAUUCUGGACUCAUCUAUCUAGUGUGUUGACUUCUAGUUUGGGUCCUGGAGGAUUCUAAUUCUCGGCUCACCUCUUCCCCUCCUCCAGCCCGUCAUCGUUAAGUCCAUGUCCAGCGAUUUCACCAUCGCAUUUGUAAAUACUGUUUGUUCUGGGGGCAAGUGCUGUGGUUACAUUUUUUUUCCUAAUACGAUUUUUCUCUUGUAUAUUCUGUUUACAUUUCCUUUAUUGAACAACUUCAAAAAAAUUUUUUUCCUGGAGUAAUCGCCUCGCUUUUGUAUAUGCUUGGUUUCCUUUGCAUCUCUGGAUUCCUCUUCCCACACCCUUCCAAGGUUCUGUAAAAGGCCUUUAAGUGCGAUUUUGCAUAUGGCCAAACCUGUCAUAAAAUCUUUUUUUUUUUUUUGGACAGGCAGAGUUAGACAGUGAGAGAGAGAUAGGUAGAGAAAGGUCUUCCUUCCAUUGGUUCACCCCCCAAAUGGCUGCUAUGGCCGGCACACUGCGUUGAUCCGAAGCCAGGGUACUUAUCCUGGUCUCCCAUGCAGGUGCAGGGCCCAAGGACUUGGGCCAUCCUCCACUGCCUUCCUGGGCCACAGCAGAGAGCUGGACUGGAAGAGGAGCAACUGGGACAGAAUCCGGCACCCUGACUGGGACUAGAACCCAGUGUGCCUGCGCCGCAAGGCGGAGAAUUAGCCAAGUGAGCCUCAGUGCCGGCCUGAAAUAAAAUCUUAUGAGUUCCUUUUUUUCUUUUUUCUUUUUUUGCCUCGGAGGCAUGUGUCCUGGGCUGCUCCAUCCUGGCACUGUACCCUGGAUACACUGCACACUGUGCACCUGUCAUUGAGGGCUUCUCAUUCUCAAUAGUCAACAUUUCCCUUUGCCUUUUUCCUGUCUCCUUGAGCCAGUGUUUUCUUCUUUCUUGGUUUACUCCCUUGUUUUGCUGAAGUGCAUUUGCCAGUAGCUCCCUGCGCAAGAAUGUUAGCAGAGAAUGUUCUAGAAGCAUCUGUGGGCUUACAGUGGCUUUAUUCCACCCUCACAUUUGAUUGAUAGUGUUGGCUGGGUAUGGAAUUUUUACUUGAAAUUGCGUCCCUUCAGACUUUUGAAGACUUUGCUCCUUUGUUGGCUGGCUUUUAAUUUUGCCUUUGAGAAGAGUGUGUUCUUCCCAUUUUGGUUCUGAAUUCAUCUCCAUGCCCACUUUCAGGCGUGUUUUCUUUUGUCCCUGAUAAAUUGAAAUGUCACAGUGUAUUGGCAUGGGUCAUUUCUUUAUUCCUUUUUCUGGGCACUUGAUAGGUCCUUUGUAAUUUUUUAAAAAGAUUUAUUUAUUUAUUUGAAAGUCAGAGUUACACAGAAAGGGAGGAGGAGAGGCAGAGAAAGAGAGAGAGAGAGAGAUCUUCCUUCUGCUGGUUCACUCCCCAACGGCUGGAGCUGUGCUUAUCUGAAGCCAGGAGCCUCCUCCAGGUCUCCCAAGCAGGUGCAGGGGCCCAAGGACUUGGGUCAUCUUCUGCUGCUAUCCCAGGCCAUAGCAGAGAGCUGGAUCAGAAAUGGAGCAGCCAGGACUCAAACCAGCACCCAUAUGGGAUGCUAGCACUGAAGAAGGCGCUUUACCUGCUACCUCACCACGCCAGCCCAGUCCUUUGUAAUUUUUUUUUUUUUGACAGGUAGAGUGGACAGUGAGAGAGAGACAGAGAGAAAGGUCUUCCUUUGCUGUUGGUUCACCCUCUAAUGGCUGCCGCGGCUGGUGCACUGUGGCCGGCGCACCGCGCUGAUCCAAUGGCAGGAGCCAGGAGCCAGGUGCUUUUCCUGGUCUCCCAUGGGGUGCAGGGCCCAAGCACUUGGGCCAUCCUCCACUGCACUCCCUGGCCACAGCAGAGAGCUGGCCUGGAAGAGAGGCAACCGGGACAGAAUCCGGUGCCCCGACCGGGACUAGAACCUGGUAUGCUGGCGCCGCAAGGCGGAGGAUUAGCCUAGUGAGCCGCGGCGCCGGCUCCUUUGUAAUUUAAGAUAGUGGUUCUCAAGUGUGGGCCCCAGACCAGUGGCAUUGGUAUCACCUGUGGGCACAUUUUGGGGAUGCAGAUUCGGAGGGUGGGCAUUUGCACUUGAGGCACCUGAACCCCAAAUGGCAGAGCCACAGCAUCUGAGUCCCAGCCCUGCUCCGCACUCCGGCCACCUGCUGACGAACACCUGGGAGGCAGCAGGGGAUGACGGCUCUAGGAGCUGGGGUCCUCACAUCCAUGUGGGAGACCUGGAUUGAGUUUUGGGCUACUGGCUUCAGCCUGGUCCAGCCCUGGCUGUUGUGGGCAUUUGAGGGGUGAGUCAGCAGAUGGGAAAUAUCUUCCUGUGGACCUUUUUUAAAAAAAAAUUCAUUAAAAUUUACAAUCUUUAAAAAAUGCAAAUUCUGGGGUCCCACUUGAUACUUACUCUGGUGCUAAGUCCCAGCAAUCUGCACUUAAACAAGCCCUCCGUGCAGUUGAGACAUCCACGCCUGGGCUUGUGUCCUGGGUCUGCCUCCACUUCUGCUUCUAGCUUCCUGCUAGUGUGCACCAGGAGGGCGAUAGGGAUGGCUCAAGUACCUGAGUCCCCGCCACCCAUGUGGGAGAUUCAGGUUAGCUUCUGGGCUCUUGACUUUGGCUUGUGCCAGCUCCGGAUGUUGCAGGCAUUUGAAGAAUUAAAUAGUUGAUUGAAUAUCUCUGCCUGUCAGUCUUUCUUGGUCUCUCUGCAAAUAAAAUAAAACUAAAAAACAAAACAAAAAACCCCACAGCCUCCAGGCCUUCUGACGUGUGCCAUAGCUUCAGCACCUGUGUCCUAGCAAUGUAUGACCCUUAGUCUGGGAAUUUCUUUGCGAUUUCUCCCCAGCCAUUUUCUCUGUUCAUUCUUUCUGCAGCUCCUAUUGUUUGGAUACUGGGCUCCUUACACUGAUCUUCUAAAAAUUUUUUUAAUCAUUUCUCUUUUAUUAAUCAUUUCUUUGUUCCAUUUUCUGGGAAAUAUCUUCUAUGUUGUAUCCUAAUAACAGAACCAUUUUCUUUCUUUGAUUUCUAAAAUUUUCAAGGUUGCUUUUUAUAGUCUCGGUUUUUCCUUGUUUUUAACAAUUUUUACAUAUUUUUGUAUAUUUGAGGGGUAGAGAGAGAGAGGGAGGGACAGACAGAAAGAAAGAAAGCUCUCAUUUGCUGAUUCAGCCCCCCAAAUGCCUGCAACUGAGCAUCUGUGGGACUUAGCUGGGCUGACCCCAGGAGCUGGGAACUCAGUCCAAGUCUCCCAGGUGGGUGGUAGAAACCCGAUGACCUGAGCCACCACUGCUGCCUCCCAGGGUCUGCACUGGCAGGAAGCUGGAGACAGGAGUCGGAGCUGGAAGCCAAAUGCAGGCACUCUGAGAUGGGACACAGGUGUCUUACUUUAACUAGGUGAAGUGCUCACGCCUCCUUUCUUUUUAAAAGUGGUUUCGUAGUCUCUGGAUGCAGGCCGUGUCUUGCCUCUCUGAGGCUAUUAAUCAGAAAGUUCCCUCUCCCUGCAUUGUCUCUGUUUCUUCUGGUCUCGUGUCUUCUGCACUCGUCAGCUGUCUGGUGAUCUGUGGCUGUGCCCCAUACUUGAGAGGGAGGCACUUGAGAGCCAGUUGGAAGCUCCCAGUGCAGGCUCAUGGUAGGUAGGGCGUUUGGUGGACUGGACUCUUCACUGAGACACCAAUGAUCAGGGUCAAUAGGCCUUUUGCUCUUGCAAUGUUAGAUUUUUCCAGAAUAAGACCCUCUAUCACACCCCCUCGGAAGUCCAGAAUCUGUGUCGUAUCCCAGACCCAUCUUCCUGUCUUCUGCACGAGCAGGGACGAAGCACAGUACAGCUCCCAGCUGUGCUGGGUCUGGCGGGCCCUGAUGGCGUAAUUGCUCUUUAAACAGAUCUCCCAGCCAUUUCCCAGGCCUGAGCCCCCGCCUCUGACUUAAUUGCUACUUCCAGUUGCUGAGCUUUUCUGGGCUGUGGGAGAAGAAUCAGCUCACUCCUGUAGGAAUGUGCCCUGGGGUGCUUCUGUCUCCCCUUUCCAGGUCGCGGGUCAUGUUCCACCACUGACCCCGGUGAGAGGGGUCAGGAUUCUUUUUUUUUUUUUUAAUAUUAAUUUUACUUAAUUGAAAGACAGAGUUAUAGACAGAGAGGGGGAGAGAGAGAGAGAGAGAGAGAGAGAGAGAGAGAGAGAGAGAGGUCCUGCAUCUGCUGGUUCAAUCCCCAAAUGGCUGCCAUGGCCAGAGCUGAGCCAAUCCAAAGCCAGCAGCCAGGAGCUUCUUCCAGGUCUCCCAGCUGGGCGCAGGGGCCCAAGACUCAGGCCACCUUCUACUGCUUUCCCAGGCCAUAGUAACAAGCUGGAUCGGAAAAGAAGCAGCCAGGACUCGAACCAGUGCCCAUAUGGGAUGCUGGCGCUGCAGGCCAGGGCUUUAACCCACCGUGCCACAGCGCCGGCCCCAGGGGUCAGGAUUCUAGAUGGACCCCGAGUGUAGGUAAAGAUGGAAUUUGGGUUUGGUUUCUUAUUUUCCUUGUUGUUUGGAGGAUGCUUUUUGAGAAAGAAGUGUGGGGGAUUUAUGCCACCAUCUUGUGACCCCAAGUCAGAGCUGCGUCUGGGAGGUAGAAAUACUGAUGCCUCUGUCAGACUCCCUUGCUCCUGCUGUUAGGAGGAAGGGGGAGGGAGCAGAACUUCUGGAGCUUAGAGAAGCCACUGCGGGGGGCUGGCAUUUGGUUGAGCUGUCAAGCCCUCCACCCAGACACCUGCAUCCCACAUCAGAGAACUAGUCUGGUCCCCGGCUCUGACUCCUGGGACUGCAUCUUCCUGCCAGUGCAGAACCUGGGAGGCAGCAGUGAGAGCGCAAGUCAUCGGGCUCACGCCAACUACGUGGGAGACCUGGACCGAGUUCAUGGCUCCCCUGUGGGCAUCUGGGGAGUGAACCAGCAGAUGGGUGUGCUCAUUCGCGGGAUCUCUCCCCCCGCACCCCAUCUCUAAACUAAAUGCAUAAAUUUGGAGGUCCCCCAAAGAAGGAAAGGAUAACUGGGCCUGAGAGACGCCUGUGAGGGGAGACAGUGAGAUACAGUGGUGCCAGCGGCAGCAGGGAGAGUGGGAGGGAAUGGGAUGUUUCGGAGGCAGAGGGAGGGGCAGUGAAGUAUCGGGCUUUGGAGCAGGCCUUUCACCUUGAGGCAGAAGAUGAUCAGACAGUAAGGUUGCUGAUCAGAUGUGCCUUCCGUGCAGGCACUGCAGGCUUGGGCGUGUGGGGAGCUAGGAGAAAGAAGGAAAGGCCUGCUGGUCAGAGACAGGAGGCCUUGAGCCAUCACUCAGUACCUCCUAGGGUGCAUGUUAACCAGAAGCUGCAGUCAGAAGUGGAGCCAGGACCUGAACUCAGCACUUCCACAUUCCAAACUGCUUCUUAACCAAUGCCCAAACCAGAGCCGGUCAUCUAGGUGAGCAGCUGUUUUGGCACCAAGCAAAGGUAAAAUUUUAACAAGGGAAGGGGGGGGGGUGCUGGUGGCACAGAAAGUUAAACCGCUACAGGCGACACUGGCCCUAGCAGCCGCUGUGGCCAUCUGCAAAGUGAACCAGUCAUGGAAUCUCUCUCUGUCUCUCCUCUCUCUUUCACUCUGCCUUUCAAGUAAAUAAAUAAAUCUUUAAAGCAAAUAAAUAAAUAAAAAGGGAGGAUGGUUCCUUUAGCCCAGGUCAAUAUUUCCUGAACCGACCUCCAGAUUAUACAGAAUCACUGUUCAGUCACCUGGAAUAUGAAAUGCACAGUUUGGCGCCCAAUAACCCAGCUCUCAAAACCUCACCUGCUGUCCCCGAGGUCCGUGGGCUGUUUCACGUCUGCCUCUGUAUGGCUAUUUUACUGUGGGAUGUGUGCUGUCGUGCCCUGCUCUGGCCGUGCACGACAGGAGUGGCUGCCGCAGAGUGUGUGUGGAUCAGCCAGGGGUCCGUGGUUAUAGGCCACAGAAACCACCUCUGGCUACCUAAGCACAGAGGCAAUUUAUUGGAACGUUAUUGGGCCACUCACGGAUUCAAUGGCUGCUUUCUACAAUUUUCCAUGCUGGUAAAGCCUUGGUUUCAUUCUGGAAUUUACCCACCCUGUACUUCAGGAAGCAGACCCUCUCCUCAGCCAGGGGGCCCCGUGGUGCUGCGUCUCAGCCUGCCAGGGUGCUUCUUGGCUCCUUGCCAGUGACUGGUUAGGUAUAGGCGUGUGACGCACCCUGGAAGAAGCCUGCCCAGGCCAGGGAAUCUGGACUCACAGGGGAGCUGAUUUGGAGCUCUGAUUUUGGCAUAUAUGCUGCCAAAGCCAGCACAGCUCUGAUUUUACUGAAGGCAGAGUUAAGCCCCUCUGCCUCUGAAAAGUGAUAGACUCGCUUAUUGUUUAAACUGCUUUGCCAAGAACUGGCGUUGUGCUGUAGCAUAUGGGUGCUGGUUCAUGUCCCGGCUGCUCCACUUCGAAUCCAGCUCCCUGCUAAUGGCCUGGGAAAAGUAGCAGAAGGUGGCCCAAGUACUUGGGUCCCUGUACCCAUGUGGGAGACCCGGAUGAAACUCCUGGCUCCUGGCCUCGGCUUAGUUCAGCCCUGGCUGUUGUGGCCAUCUGGGGAGUGAACCAGAUGAAAGAUCUCUCUUUCUGUUUCUCCCUCUCUCUUCAUAACACUUUCAAAUGAACAAAUAAAUCUUGAAAAACAACAAAAACCAUUUUGCCUUGAUCUUCCGUGCUCUCAAUGGAAAAGUUCUAACUGCCACAUCAAAGAUAUCUGUGGCUGGCGCCGUGGCUCAAUAGGCUAAUCCUCCGCCUUGCGGCGCCGGCACACCGGGUUCUAGUCCCGGUCAGGGCGCCAGAUUCUGUCCUGGUUACCCCCCUUCCAGGCCAGCUCUCUGCUAUGGCCCGGGAGUGCAGUGGAGGAUGGCC